This 331-nucleotide ribosomal RNA is filed under the name uncultured Alkalilimnicola sp. RNAcentral describes it as "bacterial SSU rRNA". It matches the Rfam family "Bacterial small subunit ribosomal RNA", at positions 49 to 381 of the family's 1533-position model. Lineage: Bacteria; Pseudomonadati; Pseudomonadota; Gammaproteobacteria; Chromatiales; Ectothiorhodospiraceae. The record is from RNAcentral.
UAACACAUGCAAGUCGAGCGGCAGCAGGCCCUUCGGGGUGCUGGCGAGCGGCGGACGGGUGAGUAACGCGUGGGAAUCUACCCUUCGGUGGGGGAUAGCCCGGGGAAACCCGGAUUAAUACCGCAUACGCCCUACGGGGGAAAGCGGCCCUCUGAUACAAGGUCGCGCCGAUGGAUGAGCCCGCGUUUGAUUAGCUUGUUGGUGGGGUAAAGGCCUACCAAGGCGACGAUCAGUAGCUGGUCUGAGAGGACGGUCAGCCACACUGGGACUGAGACACGGCCCAGACUCCUACGGGAGGCAGCAGGGGGGAAUAUUGGACAAGGGGGGAAUC